AUUGAACGCUGGCGGCAGGCCUAACACAUGCAAGUCGAACGGUAACAGGAGGAAGCUUGCUUCUUUGCUGACGAGUGGCGGACGGGUGAGUAAUGUCUGGGAAACUGCCUGAUGGAGGGGGAUAACUACUGGAAACGGUAGCUAAUACCGCAUAAUGUCGCAAGACCAAAGAGGGGGACCUUCGGGCCUCUUGCCAUCGGAUGUGCCCAGAUGGGAUUAGCUAGUAGGUGGGGUAACGGCUCACCUAGGCGACGAUCCCUAGCUGGUCUGAGAGGAUGACCAGCCACACUGGAACUGAGACACGGUCCAGACUCCUACGGGAGGCAGCAGUGGGGAAUAUUGCACAAUGGGCGCAAGCCUGAUGCAGCUAUGCCGCGUGUAUGAAGAAGGCCUUCGGGUUGUAAAGUACUUUCAGCGGGGAGGAAGGGAGUAAAGUUAAUACCUUUGCUCAUUGACGUUACCCGCAGAAGAAGCACCGGCUAACUCCGUG
RNAcentral lists this ribosomal RNA (490 nucleotides) under uncultured bacterium. RNAcentral's name for it is "partial 16S ribosomal RNA". It matches the Rfam family "Bacterial small subunit ribosomal RNA", at positions 30 to 507 of the family's 1533-position model. The record is from RNAcentral.